Molecule: ribosomal RNA, 483 nt
Filed under: Fuscoporia gilva
Lineage: Eukaryota; Fungi; Basidiomycota; Agaricomycetes; Hymenochaetales; Hymenochaetaceae
Description: LSU rRNA
Rfam family: Bacterial large subunit ribosomal RNA
Source: RNAcentral
AUUAUCCUCAUAAGUUUGACGAUAAGAGGAGCCAGAAAACUACAAUAUAAUUAGGCUAUUGGAGUAAAAUCAGCCUGUCGUAUAAUACCCUUUAAGGGAUACGGCUACCAGCCAUGGGAAAUUAGUGGGUAUCUAUCCAUUAUUUGUAUAAUCUGGUGUCACAGAAUCGGAGGCCUCGACUGUUUACUAAAAACACAAGAAUGUGCAAUGAAAAAAAUCAUAGUAUACGUUCUGAAAUUUGCUCGAUGCCAUUAACAUAAGAGAGGUAAUAGGUAACUGUUACUAAUUGAAAGUCUGGUUAAUAGCGGUCUUAACUAUGAGGAUCCAAAGGUAGCGUAAUCCAUUGGCCAUUAAAUGUGGUCCGGCAUCAAUAAUGUAACGAAGGUCUCACUGUCUCUACAACUUGCUCAGUGAAAUUGAAUUACCCGUGCAGAUGCGGGGUCACCCCCAGUGGGACGGGAAGACCCUAUGCAGCUUCUACUG